This 1478-nucleotide ribosomal RNA is filed under the name Lacticaseibacillus casei. Its description in RNAcentral is "bacterial SSU rRNA". It matches the Rfam family "Bacterial small subunit ribosomal RNA". The record is from RNAcentral. Lineage: Bacteria; Bacillati; Bacillota; Bacilli; Lactobacillales; Lactobacillaceae.
AGGGGGGGGGUGCUAAUACAUGCAAGUCGAACGAGUUCUCGUUGAUGAUCGGUGCUUGCACCGAGAUUCAACAUGGAACGAGUGGCGGACGGGUGAGUAACACGUGGGUAACCUGCCCUUAAGUGGGGGAUAACAUUUGGAAACAGAUGCUAAUACCGCAUAGAUCCAAGAACCGCAUGGUUCUUGGCUGAAAGAUGGCGUAAGCUAUCGCUUUUGGAUGGACCCGCGGCGUAUUAGCUAGUUGGUGAGGUAAUGGCUCACCAAGGCGAUGAUACGUAGCCGAACUGAGAGGUUGAUCGGCCACAUUGGGACUGAGACACGGCCCAAACUCCUACGGGAGGCAGCAGUAGGGAAUCUUCCACAAUGGACGCAAGUCUGAUGGAGCAACGCCGCGUGAGUGAAGAAGGCUUUCGGGUCGUAAAACUCUGUUGUUGGAGAAGAAUGGUCGGCAGAGUAACUGUUGUCGGCGUGACGGUAYCCAACCAGAAAGCCACGGCUAACUACGUGCCCAGCAGCCGCGGUAAUACGUAGGUGGCAAGCGUUAUCCCGGAUUUAUUGGGCGUAAAGCGAGCGCAGGCGGUUUUUUAAGUCUGAUGUGAAAGCCCUCGGCUUAACCGAGGAAGCGCAUCGGAAACUGGGAAACUUGAGUGCAGAAGAGGACAGUGGAACUCCAUGUGUAGCGGUGAAAUGCGUAGAUAUAUGGAAGAACACCAGUGGCGAAGGCGGCUGUCUGGUCUGUAACUGACGCUGAGGCUCGAAAGCAUGGGUAGCGAACAGGAUUAGAUACCCUGGUAGUCCAUGCCGUAAACGAUGAAUGCUAGGUGUUGGAGGGUUUCCGCCCUUCAGUGCCGCAGCUAACGCAUUAAGCAUUCCGCCUGGGGAGUACGACCGCAAGGUUGAAACUCAAAGGAAUUGACGGGGGCCCGCACAAGCGGUGGAGCAUGUGGUUUAAUUCGAAGCAACGCGAAGAACCUUACCAGGUCUUGACAUCUUUUGAUCACCUGAGAGAUCAGGUUUCCCCUUCGGGGGCAAAAUGACAGGUGGUGCAUGGUUGUCGUCAGCUCGUGUCGUGAGAUGUUGGGUUAAGUCCCGCAACGAGCGCAACCCUUAUGACUAGUUGCCAGCAUUUAGUUGGGCACUCUAGUAAGACUGCCGGUGACAAACCGGAGGAAGGUGGGGAUGACGUCAAAUCAUCAUGCCCCUUAUGACCUGGGCUACACACGUGCUACAAUGGAUGGUACAACGAGUUGCGAGACCGCGAGGUCAAGCUAAUCUCUUAAAGCCAUUCUCAGUUCGGACUGUAGGCUGCAACUCGCCUACACGAAGUCGGAAUCGCUAGUAAUCGCGGAUCAGCACGCCGCGGUGAAUACGUUCCCGGGCCUUGUACACACCGCCCGUCACACCAUGAGAGUUUGUAACACCCGAAGCCGGUGGCGUAACCCUAUAGGGAGCGAGCCGUUCUAAAGGUGGACCAAAAA